GACAGAGGGUGCAAACGUUGUUCGGAAUUACUGGGCGUAAAGCGUGCGCAGGCGGUUGUGCAAGACAGAGGUGAAAUCCCCGGGCUUAACCUGGGAACUGCCUUUGUGGCUGCACGGCUGGAGUGUGUCAGAGGGGGGUAGAAUUCCACGUGUAGCAGUGAAAUGCGUAGAUAUGUGGAGGAAUACCGAUGGCGAAGGCAGCCCCCUGGGAUAACACUGACGCUCAUGCACGAAAGCGUGGGGAGCAAACAGG
RNAcentral lists this ribosomal RNA (253 nucleotides) under uncultured bacterium. Its description in RNAcentral is "partial 16S ribosomal RNA". It matches the Rfam family "Bacterial small subunit ribosomal RNA", at positions 524 to 776 of the family's 1533-position model. The record is from RNAcentral.